This 433-nucleotide ribosomal RNA is filed under the name uncultured bacterium. RNAcentral describes it as "partial 16S ribosomal RNA". It matches the Rfam family "Bacterial small subunit ribosomal RNA", at positions 29 to 507 of the family's 1533-position model. The record is from RNAcentral.
AACGAACGCUGGCGGCAUGCCUAACACAUGCAAGUCGAACGAGACCUUCGGGUCUAGUGGCGCACGGGUGCGUAACGCGUGGGAACCUGCCCUUAGGUUCGGAAUAACUCCCCGAAAGGGGUGCUAAUACCGGAUAAUGUCUUCGGACCAAAGAUUUAUCGCCUUUGGAUGGGCCCGCGUUGGAUUAGCUAGUUGGUAGGGUAAAAGCCUACCAAGGCGACGAUCCAUAGCUGGUCUGAGAGGAUGAUCAGCCACACUGGGACUGAGACACGGCCCAGACUCCUACGGAAGGCAGCAGUGGGGAAUAUUGGACAAUGGGCGAAAGCCUGAUACAGCAAUGCCGCGUGAGUGAUGAAGGCCUUAGGGUUGUAAAGCUCUUUUACCCGGGAUGAUAAUGACAGUACCGGGAGAAUAAGCUCCGGCUAACUACGUG